GACGAACGCUGGCGGCGUGCUUAACACAUGCAAGUCGAGCGGAGCGGCGAACGGGUGAGUAACGCGUGAGUAACUGCCCCCCUCUCUGGGAUCACAGUUGGAAACGGCUGCUAAUAGAGGAUAGUGGGGGUGGACUCGCGUCCUAUCAGCUUGUUGGUGGGGGAGGCGCUUACCAAGGGGACGACGGGUCGCCCGCCUGAGAGGGCGACCGGCCACAUUGGGCUGAGGUACGGCCCAAACGCCUACGGGAGGCAGCAGUGGGGAAUAUGGCACAACGGGGGAAACCCUGAUGCAGCAACGUCGCGUGCGUGAUGACGGCCUUCUGGUUGUAAACCGCUAUCAGCCAUGACGCGGUAGUGACAGAAGAAGCACCGGCUAACUACGUGCCAGCAGCCGCGGUAAUAC
Molecule: ribosomal RNA, 405 nt
Filed under: uncultured bacterium
Lineage: Bacteria
Description: partial 16S ribosomal RNA
Rfam family: Bacterial small subunit ribosomal RNA
Source: RNAcentral